CCAGACUCCUACGGGAGGCAGCAGUGGGGAAUAUUGCGCAAUGGGCGAAAGCCUGAUGCAGCGACGCCGCGUGGGCGAGGAAGUAUUUCGGUAUGUAAAGCCCUAUCGGCAGGGAAGAAGAAAUGACGGUACCUGAAUAAGAAGCACCGGCUAAAUACGUGCCAGCAGCCGCGGUAAUACGUAUGGUGCAAGCGUUAUCCGGAUUUACUGGGCGUAAAGGGAGCGCAGACGGCGAUGCAAGCCAGGAGUGAAAGCCCGGGGCCCAACCCCGGGACUGCUCUUGGAACUGCGCGGCUGGAGUGCAGGAGGGGCAGGCGGAAUUCCUGGUGUAGCGGUGAAAUGCGUAGAUAUCAGGAGGAACACCGGUGUCGAAGGCGGCCUGCUGGACUGCGACUGACGUUGAGGCCCGAAAGCGUGGGGAGCAAACAGGAUUAGAUACCCGAGUA
This 446-nucleotide ribosomal RNA is filed under the name uncultured bacterium. Its description in RNAcentral is "partial 16S ribosomal RNA". It matches the Rfam family "Bacterial small subunit ribosomal RNA", at positions 331 to 792 of the family's 1533-position model. The record is from RNAcentral.